This 906-nucleotide ribosomal RNA is filed under the name Pseudogymnoascus pannorum. RNAcentral describes it as "partial large subunit ribosomal RNA". It matches the Rfam family "Eukaryotic large subunit ribosomal RNA", at positions 38 to 964 of the family's 3401-position model. The record is from RNAcentral. Lineage: Eukaryota; Fungi; Ascomycota; Leotiomycetes; Thelebolales; Thelebolaceae.
GCAUAUCAAUAAGCGGAGGAAAAGAAACCAACAGGGAUUACCUCAGUAACGGCGAGUGAAGCGGUAACAGCUCAAAUUUGAAAUCUGGCCUCACGGUCCGAGUUGUAAUUUGUAGAGGAUGCUUCGAGCAUGGUCUGGCCUAAGUUCCUUGGAACAGGACGUCAUAGAGGGUGAGAAUCCCGUAUGCGGCCAGGUGCCUACGCUCAUGUGAAGCUCCUUCGACGAGUCGAGUUGUUUGGGAAUGCAGCUCAAAAUGGGUGGUAAAUUUCAUCUAAAGCUAAAUAUUGGCCAGAGACCGAUAGCGCACAAGUAGAGUGAUCGAAAGAUGAAAAGCACUUUGGAAAGAGAGUUAAACAGUACGUGAAAUUGUUGAAAGGGAAGCGCUUGCAACCAGACUUGCGCGCGGCCGAUCAUCCGGUGUUCUCACCGGUGCACUCGGCCGUGCUCAGGCCAGCAUCGGUUUUGGCGGCUGGAUAAAGGCCCUAGGAAUGUAGCUCCUCUCGGGGAGUGUUAUAGCCUAGGGUGCAAUGCAGCCUGCUGGGACCGAGGACCGCGCUUCGGCUAGGAUGCUGGCGUAAUGGUUGUAAGCGGCCCGUCUUGAAACACGGACCAAGGAGUCUAACAUCUAUGCGAGUGUUUGGGUGUCAAACCCAUACGCGUAAUGAAAGUGAACGGAGGUGAGAACCCUUAAGGGUGCAUCAUCGACCGGUCCUGAAGUUUACGGAAGGAUCUGAGUAAGAGCAUAGCUGUUGGGACCCGAAAGAUGGUGAACUAUGCCUGAAUAGGGUGAAGCCAGAGGAAACUCUGGUGGAGGCUCGCAGCGGUUCUGACGUGCAAAUCGAUCGUCAAAUUUGGGUAUAGGGGCGAAAGACUAAUCGAACCAUCUAGUAGCUGGGUUCCUGCUGA